AUGAAAUCUUAUGCUGUCCUUCUCAAAUAUCAUCUUCAACCUAGCAUAUUAUGAAUUUUUCAGGACAUGGAUGGGGGCGAAAGGAGCAAUAAACAGCACCGCAAAUGAGGACCCACAUUAUAGGGGUAUAUUUAGAUCAACAGGGCCUUCUAAGGAAAAAAUAGCAAACCGAAGAUAGUUCUGCUAAAAACGGAGUCGAUGAGUACAGCAGAAUGUAGAGGCAAUCUUCAGAAGCAAAGGUUUAUUACAAGAUGAAAUCCGCCAUGGAAACAAAAGCUAGCUUCCUGGGCUUCCAAAGUUGAAGAUGCUUGCUUGAGAGGAAAGUCGAUCAAAGAUGUGAACUUCUAUCAAAUCUGAUAAAUCUUCUAAGACUGACAGCGGGAUCCUUUUCGCAGCACACUUCUCUGUGAGGACGUUAACAGCAAUACUCCACAAAUUCGCAGAAUAUAAAUAACAGAGUUGGAAGCAGUGGUGAAAUGUAAAAUUUGUUACUACCGGUUCUGUGGGCGUGGCUUGUUGGGGGGGGGGUAAUAUGACUGAGUGGGCGUGGCCAACUUUUUUUUUUUUAACUUUUAAAGCCAUUUUUUCUACAACUUCUUCUGCUGAAAAGGUUGUAAAAAAAAUGCUUUUAAAGCCUCCGACGAUCCCAGCUGACUUGC
Long non-coding RNA from Pantherophis guttatus, 659 nucleotides. RefSeq lists it as uncharacterized. The record is from RefSeq and is a predicted model, not a curated record. NCBI's taxonomy places the organism in Eukaryota, Metazoa, Chordata, Lepidosauria, Squamata, Colubridae.